CAUGCAGUCGACGGUAACAGAGAGUAGCUUGCUACUCUGCUGACGAGUGGCGCACGGGUGAGUAAUAUAUAGAUAAUGUGCCUUUUAGUCUGGGAUAGCCAUUGGAAACGAUGAUUAAUACUGGAUACUCCUUCUAACUCUAAUGUUAGUCGGGAAAGUUUUUCGCUAAAAGAUCGGUCUAUAUCCCAUCAGUUAGUUGGUAAGGUAACGGCUUACCAAGGCAAUGACGGGUAGCGGGUUUGAGAGGAUGAUCCGCCACACUGGUACUGAGACACGGACCAGACUCCUACGGGAGGCAGCAGUGAGGAAUAUUGCACAAUGGGGGAAACCCUGAUGCAGCAACGCCGCGUGGAGGAUGACGCAUUUCGGUGUGUAAACUCCUUUUAUAUGUCAAGAAAAUGACGGUAGCAUAUGAAUAAGCACCGGCUAACUCCGUGCCAGCAGCCGCGGUAAUACGGAGAGUGCAAGCGUUACUCGGAAUCACUGGGCGUAAAGCGCAUGCAGGCGGUUUAAUAAGUUAGAAGUGAAAUCCUACAGCUUAACUGUAGAACUGCUUCUAAAACUGUUAAACUAGAGUCUGGGAGGGGAAGAUGGAAUUAGUAGUGUAGGGGUAAAAUCCGUAGAGAUUACUAGGAAUACCAAAAGCGAAGGCGAUUUUCUGGAACAGUACUGACGCUGAGAUGCGAAAGCGUGGGGAGCAAACAGGAUUAGAUACCCUGGUAGUCCACGCAGUAAACGAUGAAUGUUAGUCGUUGGAGUGCUAGUCACUUCAGUGAUGCAGUUAACACAUUAAACAUUCCGCCUGGGGAGUACGGUCGCAAGA
RNAcentral lists this ribosomal RNA (823 nucleotides) under uncultured bacterium. Its description in RNAcentral is "bacterial SSU rRNA". It matches the Rfam family "Bacterial small subunit ribosomal RNA", at positions 54 to 893 of the family's 1533-position model. The record is from RNAcentral.